GGAUGUGAGGGUGAUCUGGCUGUGACAUCUGUCACCCCAUUUAUCGCCAGGGUUGAUUCGGCUGAUCUGGCUGGCUAGGAGGGUGUCCCUUCCUCCCUCACUGCUCCAUGUGCGUCCCUCCCGAAGCUGUGCUCUCGGUCGCAGAGGACGAACUUCCCCGAAUAGAGACAGACUUGUCUUCGGUCGAGGGUAUAUGAGUAGCUGCACUCCCCUGCUAGAACCUCCAAACAAGCUCUCUAUUUACUCAUUUGAAACCUUAAGUGUUUAGGUUGAAGGAAUAUAUACUCAGAACUGAAGUCUAUCUAUUGAAACACUCUAGACAUUCAAUCUAU
This 332-nucleotide small nuclear RNA is filed under the name Erinaceus europaeus (western European hedgehog). RNAcentral's name for it is "7SK RNA (ENSEEUG00000016396.1)". It matches the Rfam family "7SK RNA". From Rfam's summary of the family: 7SK was discovered as an abundant small nuclear RNA in the mid-70s but a possible function has only recently been suggested. Two independent studies have found that 7SK RNA binds the CDK9/cyclin T complex (known as elongation factor P-TEFb). The record is from Rfam by way of RNAcentral. Lineage: Eukaryota; Metazoa; Chordata; Mammalia; Eulipotyphla; Erinaceidae.